GGAAACUGUUUGRCUUAGCUAAACCGUAUUGUAGACUGUAGAAACAUUUUCCUGGCACACCAGAUUAAUAAGUCCUUUGGAACAAGGCAUCAUGGAGGGUGAGAAUCCCGUCUUUGAUCUGAGUAGUUGUCUUUUGUGAUAUGUUUUCAAAGAGUCAGGUUGUUUGGGAAUGCAGCCUAAAUUGGGUGGUAAAUCUCACCUAAAGCUAAAUAUUUGCGAGAGACCGAUAGCGAACAAGUACCGUGAGGGAAAGAUGAAAAGAACUUUGAAAAGAGAGUUAAACAGUAUGUGAAAUUGUUAAAAGGGAACCGUUUGGAGCCAGACUGGUUUGCCUGUAAUCAACCUAGAAUUCGUUUUGGGUGCACUUGCAGGCUAUACCUGCCAACAACAGUUUGAUUUGGAGGAAAAAAUUANUAGGAAUGUAGCCUCGCGAGGUGUUAUAGCCUACUAUCAUACUCUGGAUUGGACUGAGGAACGCAGCGAAUGCCUUUAGGCAAGAUUGCUGGGUGCUUUCGCUAAUAAAUGUUAGAAUUUCUGCUUCGGGUGGUGCUAAUGUUUAAAGGAGGAACACCUCUAGUAUAUUUUUUAUUCGCUUANGUUGGUGGGUUAAUGA
This 613-nucleotide ribosomal RNA is filed under the name Mucor cf. racemosus DB5759. RNAcentral's name for it is "LSU rRNA". It matches the Rfam family "Eukaryotic large subunit ribosomal RNA", at positions 117 to 637 of the family's 3401-position model. The record is from RNAcentral. Lineage: Eukaryota; Fungi; Mucoromycota; Mucoromycetes; Mucorales; Mucoraceae.